GACGAACGCUGGCGGCGUGCUUAACACAUGCAAGUCGAACGGUAAGGCCCUUCGGGGUACACGAGUGGCGAACGGGUGAGUAACACGUGGGUGAUCUGCCCUGCACUUCGGGAUAAGCCUGGGAAACUGGGUCUAAUACCGGAUAGGACCACUGCCGGCAUGGGUGGGGGUGGAAAGCUUUUGCGGUGUGGGAUGGGCCCGCGGCCUAUCAGCUUGGUGGUGGGGUGAUGGCCUACCAAGGCGACGACGGGUAGCCGGCCUGCAGAGGGUGACCGGCCACACUGGGACUGAGAUACGGCCCAGACUCCUACGGGAGGCAGCAGUGGGGAAUAUUGCACAAUGGGCGCAAGCCUGAUGCAGCGACGCCGCGUGAGGGAUGACGGCCUUCGGGUUGUAAACCUCUUUCAGCACCGACGAAGCGCAAGUGACGGUAGGUGCAGAAGAAGGACCGGCCAACUACGUGCCAGCCGCCGCAGUAA
This 479-nucleotide ribosomal RNA is filed under the name uncultured bacterium. RNAcentral's name for it is "partial 16S ribosomal RNA". It matches the Rfam family "Bacterial small subunit ribosomal RNA", at positions 28 to 523 of the family's 1533-position model. The record is from RNAcentral.